Molecule: ribosomal RNA, 349 nt
Filed under: Ehrlichia canis
Lineage: Bacteria; Pseudomonadati; Pseudomonadota; Alphaproteobacteria; Rickettsiales; Anaplasmataceae
Description: bacterial SSU rRNA
Rfam family: Bacterial small subunit ribosomal RNA
Source: RNAcentral
UUAGUGGCAGACGGGUGAGUAAUGCGUAGGAAUCUACCUAGUAGUACGGAAUAGCCAUUAGAAAUGGUGGGUAAUACUGUAUAAUCCCCGAGGGGGAAAGAUUUAUCGCUAUUAGAUGAGCCUACGUUAGAUUAGCUAGUUGGUGAGGUAAUGGCUUACCAAGGCUAUGAUCUAUAGCUGGUCUGAGAGGACGAUCAGCCACACUGGAACUGAGAUACGGUCCAGACUCCUACGGGAGGCAGCAGUGGGGAAUAUUGGACAAUGGGCGAAAGCCUGAUCCAGCUAUGCCGCGUGAGUGAAGAAGGCCUUCGGGUUGUAAAACUCUUUCAAUAGGGAAGAUAAUGCCGGG